UACGUAGGGGGCGAGCGUUGUCCGGAUUUAUUGGGCGUAAAGAGCUCGUAGGCGGCUUGGCAAGUCGGGUGUGAAACCUCCAGGCUCAACCUGGAGACGCCACUCGAUACUGCCAUGGCUAGAGUCCGGUAGGGGACCACGGAAUUCCUGGUGUAGCGGUGAAAUGCGCAGAUAUCAGGAGGAACACCGGUGGCGAAGGCGGAUCUCUGGGCCAUUACUGACGCUGAGGAGCGAAAGCGUGGGGAGCGAACAGG
This 254-nucleotide ribosomal RNA is filed under the name uncultured bacterium. RNAcentral describes it as "partial 16S ribosomal RNA". It matches the Rfam family "Bacterial small subunit ribosomal RNA", at positions 524 to 776 of the family's 1533-position model. The record is from RNAcentral.